CCUAACAACUGAGGAAUCUUAGGUCAAAGUUCAAGGUCAUUCUCGGCGGACCCUUUGGAUUCUCGUAAAAAUUGGUACAACUAUAGUCCAUGAAGAGCUGAUUUCAAAAAUAUCAGUUUCUUACUUUGGCAAGCAGCACGAACUGAUAUAUAGUAGGUCAAAGGUCAGAAUCAAGGUCACGUAUGUGUAAUACAGGAAGUGGAAGUGACCACGUGGUCAGGAUGCCGGCGGCGGCGACGACAGUGCGCCGGCGCACAUCUCUAUGGAGGUGGACACGGCGACCCGUGGGCGACCGCCGCUGCCGCGGUUUGCUACAGGUGGCGAUGGCCACUAAUCUGUUGGAGGAGGCGCCCCCGGCACAGGUCCCAACCGCCGGAGACGCGGCAGAGACCGGGCAGUGGGCUGGCUUCCAGUCGCGAUACAACGCGGUCGUGACAGCGUCUCAGUGCACAGGAGCCGCGGCUGUGAACGAUUGUUGAGAGACGGCGCGGGGCACCGAUAGAAGCUUGUCUGCUAGAGAUCAAAUCCUGUCUGCUGGUGGUAUAUAAUGCCGCGUAGGCGCUAAUGCCGCACUUCUCGCUCUCGAUCACCUCCAGCAGUCGCGCGGCGUACCUACGCUCGCUGCUCCUCGAGUAGAUGGGGCGGCAGCGGCGCGGGCGGAGCCUGUGGAGGUGGUGGCGAGGGCGACACAACUCUGAAGCUUUGGAAAAAAGCUGAUAAUACAUACUAUAUAAUAAUAAUACAUACUAUAUAAAAAAAUGCUGAUAAUGCAUACUACAUACUAAAGCUGAUAAUACAAUAUAUACGAGCGGAAGCGGCGCGCGCACAGCGCCAGCACCGUGUCGAGAUCCUCCGGCGGCCUGCGCUCGUCGCUGAGCGUAUGUAGACUACUUGUGUCUUGUAGACAGUAGAGCUCGUCUUGACGGCGAAAUGUCAUUGUCCAAUUUUUCACUGUCCGGCGACCGCGGGAUGACAUUAACACUGUAUGUCACGCCGUGCACAUUA
This 1005-nucleotide long non-coding RNA is filed under the name Amphibalanus amphitrite. RNAcentral's name for it is "uncharacterized LOC122367896". The record is from RNAcentral. Lineage: Eukaryota; Metazoa; Arthropoda; Thecostraca; Balanomorpha; Balanidae.